Molecule: small nucleolar RNA, 138 nt
Organism: Tachyglossus aculeatus (Australian echidna)
Lineage: Eukaryota; Metazoa; Chordata; Mammalia; Monotremata; Tachyglossidae
Source: RefSeq, a predicted model, not a curated record
UCUCUCUUGGAGUUAUACCUGGAGAGUUUUGAGUACUCUACUAGUCUCGGUUAUGGGAGGAAGAGUCAAGCAGAGUCAUAUCCAUUCUAUUCCUAGCUUGGCCAGUGGCUAGCGAGUGGAAGGCAAUCUGCUACAAGU